This 204-nucleotide long non-coding RNA is filed under the name Homo sapiens (human). Its description in RNAcentral is "non-protein coding lnc-PRAG1-3:9". Lineage: Eukaryota; Metazoa; Chordata; Mammalia; Primates; Hominidae. The record is from RNAcentral.
AGUCGCCAUUCCCCAUUUUACAGCUGGGGAAACUGAGUUACAGAGCUUUUCUGCACUGAGUCAUCAGGAGCAAAUGCUAGAUCAGAUAGAGUCUCUCUCUCUGCCACCCAGGCCAGAGUGCAGUUGACGCAGGGCAGGGGAGCCCCGAAGUGGAGCAUAGUGUGUCCGGAACUGGUGGGUUCUUGGUCUCCCUGACUUCAAGAA